RNAcentral lists this long non-coding RNA (4582 nucleotides) under Ananas comosus (pineapple). Its description in RNAcentral is "long non-coding RNA (ACOM_LNC002070)". Lineage: Eukaryota; Viridiplantae; Streptophyta; Magnoliopsida; Poales; Bromeliaceae. The record is from RNAcentral.
UUUUGUUGAUCUAUGAUCUGUACCUCAUUAUACAUGGAAUUUCGGGAUUUUUGUUGGAAUGUCCUUUUUUGAUGAAAAAUCUUGCUUGGAUUUGUUAGAAAUAGUGGUGUUAUACAUUCUAAUAUUAUUAGAAAAUUUUUCACUAUUUUUACAGAUUUUUAUUGAAAUUUUGGUCAUGCAAGGUUAUUUUUUGUAUAGGAAAAAUGGCAUUUUCGCUCGUGUUGCUACUUUUGGUGCUGAUGGCCACUCGUCGUGGUCGUGGUGGUGGUCGAGGCUAUCACGCCCCGGGACUGAUACCAAUUUGGCCGGCCCGAACACGUCAAACAGACGCCGAACGGACAGAGUUUUUUCUGUCCGCCCAAGGCUCAUCACCUGUACAUUUUCAAACAAGAAGUGCACUAGCGGAAACAUACACAAACGGCUUACACGAGGGUAAGCAACAGCCAUGAGUGAAAGUAAGGAAAAUAAACAUCUACACAAGUACUAUGAUUCACUUUUGAUCACAUACAUGUAUCCAUUUCAUCCAACUUGUACAUUCAUAAAGUCUUUACAUUUCAUUACAUCACUUGCAUCAUUUCCUUUUACAUCACAUUGCCUCAAAAUAAAACUUUACAUUCUUUUCUUUCUUUGCUUUAUACAUAAACAUCUUAAAUCAUCAAUACAAAAGAUGAUAAAAGGGUAUACAACUAACAAAAUGUAAAGCCCGACUCGGGUGGCCACUGUCUAGGGUGCGAUACCUUUACCGCGGUCGCUCGCCGGCUCGCUCGGUUCCGGCUCUGUGGAAUAGUGGGGUGAGAACUACAACAAAGUUUCCAGUAGGUUCGGCUCCAAUCUCACCGAUUUUUCCACUAGGACUAACUCAGGCAUAAUAGAAAGGAUAAGCAUAAUAGUAACCAAACUAUAAUCAUGAUGCUAAUAUGCCUGAACAAUAAAGCAAGAAGUAUGCUCAACGUAAAUCAUGCAAGUAUGUAAGUUCUUUGUUCUUUACUCUUUAUUCUUUAAUCUUUGUUCUUUGUUCUUUAAUCUCACGACUAACCCGGGAGUUUCGCCACAUUAACUUGCCCACAUUAAGUCCAUCAUCGCGGGCCCUCAGCUGCCUCCCGCUAAGACCGUCCUCGGGUUUACUCCAACCCGUGAUGCAAAACUCCGGAGCGCAUCGCUCGAGGGGGAGCGACCGCCCUCAAGCACGGAACUCAUAGCAAGUAUGAUCGAUCCUUAACUCUAAGGAUAUAUGGUUCAAUCAUUGUCUUUACACUAAUUCUAGUGUUCUUUAUAUCACUUUAUUUUGCUAACUCUAGCAAUCAUUGUUCUUUAACUUUACUCGUUCUUUAUGCCACUUUCAUUUUCUUUUCUUGUCUCUAAUCAUUAUCAUUGUUCUUUGCGUCGCAUUUCUCUUUGAUGCCACACACACUAACUCUAGUGUCACUUUACUUUAUAUUAUCGAAUGCCACUCGAUCUAUGUUUUAUUGUGUCACUUGUUCUUUCAUCUCAUUUGGGUGCUCACAUUACAUCUCAUGCAUACAUAUAGGGUUGAAUAGGUUCUCUAACAUUUCAAAUAGCACGUGUACUCACAUCAUGCAACAUUCACAUAUAUAACAUCUCAUCUACCCUAUAAUGCAUGCAACAAUAUAAACAUAUGCUCAAUUGAAUGACACAUUAGGCAUAGAAGGAAUUCCAAUAAGUUUGGAUAGCACCACCCACCUCGUAGGCGUACUAGGAUGCUACAAUGAUUUUCUUGGAAUUUUUAGACUCCUAGUUCGUCACCUGCGGCAAAACGAAGCCCUAUUAGGCCAUUUUAUUCAUAUCUUUAUAUUGGCUUUUUGCAACGUCAAUCCGAGCGCACCAACUCAUCGGAAAUACCCCCAAUUAGGUUUCUAGAGGGUCAAUUUCAUUUUAGAACCCUUACAAGCAAAAGCCCCAAUUUGGGUGUCCUAGCUCAUAACAUAUAUCAAACCUAGGGUUUGAUCUCAUUAGGAAGCAAAAGAAGCUUCAAUCUACUCUAGAGACUCCAUAAAAACCAUCCUUAGCUCAAUCAAAACCCAUUUUGGGGUUUCACCAUGAGAGGGGUUGAAGCUUACCUUCAAGCUUCACCAUCUCCAUCCAAUCCAUUGUUUGAUCUCUAAAAGAAGCAAAAGAUAGCUCCAAAUAUUCUAAAGGUUCUAUAAAAACCAUUCUUAGCUUAAUCCAAACCCUAGUUUGGAUUCUACCAUGAAUAGCGUUCAAGCUUACCUCUAAGCUUGCUCCUAUGUUGCUCCAAAGAGGAAGAAGAGGAGGUAGCUUCAUUCCUUGGUUCAUUCCUUGGCUUCUUCUUCACCUUCUUCUUCUUCUUCUUCUUCUUCUUCUUCUUCUUCUUCUUCUUCUUCCUUCUUUUUCUUGUCUUCUUCUUCUCCUUCUUGUCUUCUAGAGAGAGAAAGAGAGGUGAGAGGGUGUGAGAGGGAGAGAAUGAGAGAAAUAUCUCGUAUCCCCUCUCAUUUCACUCUAUGGGUUGCAUAAUUGCAAUUAGGUCCCUCAGCUUUUAUUUUAUUAAACUGCUUGAACUGGGCAGUUUUCGGGUUCGAGGACCGGUCCCAGAAGGCUCUCCCGCAGCACAGCGGGGGCUUUCGCACGAGGCAACCGGUCUCUCCCAGGGAGACCGGUCUCUCGGGGACCGGUCUCUCCCCGCAGGGACCGGUUCCCGAGAGCUGGUUUUCUGGGACUUAGCCAAUUUUUCAGCCUUCUCAAUUUUCACGCGUUCGGGGACCGGUCUCUCCCACCAGGGACCGGUCCCCGAGAGCACAAAAACUGCAUUUUGCAUAUUUUUGAUUAUUUCGCUCUCGAAAACCUCCCACAAUGCACUUUUGAUCAUUUUAACACCUUCGGACUUUCCGAAGCGUACCAUCCUCGCACUCUGGUCAAUUUGACUAAAGUUCGAUAUUUAUUUUUCGAAUUUUUGGUAUAUUAUAUUCUCCACCCUUUAAAAUAAUUUCGUCCGCGAAAUUACGCAUAUCUUAACUCGUCGACUCAAACAAAUGCGGAUACUCUCUCCGCAUGGUCUCCUCGAGCUCCCAAGUGGCUUCUCGCACCGCAUGGUUGCUCCACUGAACCUUCACAUAUGGAAUUCUGCGACUCCGCAGCUUUAUUUCUUCUCGAUCGAGGAUGCACACCGUGUACUCCUCAUAAGACAUAUCCUCACGUAACUCCACGGGCUCGUACUCUAACACAUGUGUCGAGUUGCGAAUAUACUUUCGGAGAUUUGACACAUGGAAAAUAUUGUGAACUCCCGCGAGUCUCGGUGGUAGUGCGAGCUUGUACGCUACCGCACCCACACACUCCAAUAUCUCAAAUGGUCCGACAUAACGGGGGCUUAGCUUCUCACGGACCCCAAAUCGCUUUACUCCACGCAUCGGCGACACUCUAAAAAAUACACGGUCUCCAACCGCGAACUCUAAGUCCUUCCUCCGCAUGUCGGCAUAGCUCUUUUGUCGAGAUUGCGCCGUCACUAACCGUUGACAGGCAAAACGAACCUUUCUUCCGCCUCCCGUACCACAUCCGGACCAAGAGCCAUUCUCUCGCCCACGUCGCUCCAAUGGAUAGGAGAACGACACUUUUGACCAUAUAGUGCCUCAAAUACAUCCGGGUGGCAGUCCCGGUAACUCCACUGCGGGUAUUCGCACACUACUCGAAUAUCCCCCAACUCUGGGUAUUCCUUUCGAGCAUCUACCAUGGUUGCCAAAUAGGCCUUACACCCUCCUUUGAUUAUCUUCUUCGCCCUUACAGACAAUAUGGUCGCCGUGAAGCACCUACUUUUGCACGCUUGGUACACCAAUUCUUCUUGAUUAGGCUCACGAAAAGUGAUCACCUUACUUUCACAAUCUAUAACCGCAUAGUACUUGGAGAGCCAGUUGGUCCCCAAGAUAACAUCGAAUCCCUACAUCUAAUCUAGCACUAGCAGAUCAAUCGGCAUAAUCCAAUCGCCUAUUUGCACUGGACACGCCAAACACUCAUUAUGGACACUGAAUGAAUGUUCUGAGACGUUCACUCACCAAUAGUGCUCGUUUUAUGCCAUUUCUAUGCCAUGAGUUUGAGCAAAUGAUGCGCUAAUGAAUGAAUGAGAUGCGUCUGUAUCAAAUACUGCUCUAGCUCUAGUGCCUUUAAUCAACAAUUAUACCUGCCACGACGUCGUCGGGUGCUGCAGGUUGUUGCUCCUCUACCUGAGCGGCNACAUAUAGUUUAGUUGGUUUAUGUGGUUCAGUAAUUAUUUACAUUCGAAAAUGUGGAUUUCUGGAUUUGUAAAAUAAAAGGUUUUCUACCCCUCGUGGUAGCGUUUUUAAAAGAAUAAAGGUUUCUGUGUAGGAAACAGCUUUCAAAAAAUUUUUGUGGAUUUCUGUUUAUACUUUGAAUGUAAAACUGUGAUGUGAAUGGUGAAUGUAUGAAUGUAUAGUUAUCUUUAUAUUCAUCUGGUUGUGGUUGUAUCCUGAUUGUACUGUGUAUUUGAUCGACACCGUGCAAAUACAGGGGAGACUCUGUCCGUGUGAACAGUGGAUUUCCUGUAUUUGUGGCGGAUCUGGCAUACUCUGGGGUCAGAUUUUCAAAAAAAAAAAUU